Molecule: transfer RNA, 81 nt
Filed under: Gemmatimonadales bacterium
Lineage: Bacteria; Pseudomonadati; Gemmatimonadota; Gemmatimonadia; Gemmatimonadales
Description: tRNA-Leu
Rfam family: tRNA
About the family: Transfer RNA (tRNA) molecules are approximately 80 nucleotides in length. Their secondary structure includes four short double-helical elements and three loops (D, anti-codon, and T loops).
Source: RNAcentral
GCGGACGUGGUGGAAUGGCAGACACGCCGGUCUUAGGAGCCGGUGGGGAAACCCGUGCGGGUUCGACUCCCGCCGUCCGCA